RNAcentral lists this ribosomal RNA (1938 nucleotides) under Triticum aestivum (bread wheat). RNAcentral describes it as "partial small subunit ribosomal RNA". The record is from RNAcentral. Lineage: Eukaryota; Viridiplantae; Streptophyta; Magnoliopsida; Poales; Poaceae.
AUGGCGCGAUUGACGAUUGCAUCGGCGGCGGUGGCGCUGAUCCUGCUCGUGGCGUCCGCGGAGGCCUCGCCGGCGUGGUCGGACUACGCCGGCGCGUUCGACAAGUCCCUCCAGUUCUUCGAGGCGCAGCGGUCCGGCAAGCUCCCCGCCGACCGCACCGUGCACUGGCGCGGCGACUCCGCCCUCACCGACGGCUUCUCCCAGGGGGUACGCGCGCGCGCCUCGAUCCGACGUCGUACGAACUCCGAUCGGAGCUCGAUCCGCAUUUGCUUAUGGACAAAGAAUGGAUGUGUGCAGGUGGAUCUGGUCGGCGGGUACUACGACGCCGGCGACCACGUCAAGUUCGGGUUCCCGGCGGCGUACGCGGUGACCAUGCUGUCGUGGGGCGUGCUCGAGUUCGAGAAGGAGAUGGUCGCCGCCAACUCCCUCAACCGCGCCCUCGACGCCAUCCGCUGGGGCACCAACUACUUCAUCAAGGCCCAUACCGAGCCCAACACCCUCUGGGUCCAGGUGGGCGACGGUGACAGCGACCACCUGUGCUGGGAGCGCGCGGAGGACAUGUCGACGCCGAGGACGGCGUCCAAGAUCGACGCCAGCCGCCCGGGCUCGGAGGUGGCCGCCGAGACGGCCGCGGCGCUCGCCGCCGCCGCCAAGGUGUUCCGGCACUACGACUCCAUGUACGCCGACCUGCUCCUCAUGCACGCCAAGCAGAUCUUCACCUUCGCCGACACCUUCCGGGGCCGCUACGACGACUCCCUGCAAUGCGCCAAGAAGUUCUACCCCUCCGCCUCCGGCUACCAGGACGAGCUGCUCUGGGGCGCCGCCUGGCUCUACGAGGCCACCGGCGACGAGGACUACCUCGACUACGUCGCCCGUAACGCGGACGCCUUCGGCGGGACCGGCUGGGCCGUGCGCGAGUUCUCCUGGGACAACAAGUACGCCGGCGUCCAGGUGCUGCUCUCCAAGGUGCUCCUCGCCGGCGGCGGCGACGGCGACUACGCCGACACGCUCAAGCAGUUCCGGGCCAAGGCCGAGUUCUUCAUGUGCGCCUGCAUCCAGAAGAACGGCGGCAACAACGUCAGGACCACCCCCGGCGGCCUCCUCUACGUCGCCGACUGGAACAACAUGCAGUACGUCAGCUCCUCCGUCUUCCUCCUCACCGUCUACGCCGACUACCUCGCCGAGUCCGGCGACAAGCUCAAGUGCCCCGACGCCGAGGUCGCGCCCGCCGAGAUCGUCGCCUUCGCCAGGUCCCAGGUGGACUACGUCCUGGGCAAGAACCCGCUGUCCAUGAGCUACAUGGUGGGCCACGGCGACAAGUUCCCCACGCACGUGCACCACCGCGGCGCCUCCAUCCCGUCCGUCUACGCCGUCAACGACACCGUCGGGUGCAUGGAGGGGUUCGACGCCUACUACAACAGCAAGGGCGCCGACCCCAACGUCCUCGUCGGCGCGCUCGUCGGCGGGCCAGACGGCCACGACGGCUUCGUCGAUGACCGCUGCAACUACCAGCGCGCCGAGCCCACCCUCGCCGCCGCCGCGCCCAUGUGCGGCGUCUUCGCCCGCCUCGCCGCCCAACCCGCCGCCGCCGGUAACAGCCCGGGUUACCAGCCUCCGCAGGACACCCUGCACGUCGGAGGCGCGCCGCUGGAGUUCGUGCACGCGGUCACCAACUCGUGGGAGUACAACGGCGUGGACCACUACCGGCACACCGUGACGGCGAAGAACACGUGCGGCCACCCCAUCACGUAUCUGAAGCUGCGGAUCGAGGGGCUGACCGGCCCCAUCUACGGCGUCUCUGCCACACAGGACAAGGAGAUGUACGGCUUCCCCUCCUGGGUCACCAGACUUGACGCCGGCGAGAAGCUUACCAUCGUGUACAUCCAGGAGGGCGGCCCCGCUGCCAAGAUCGCCGUCGCCCAGUACAAGACGGGCUGA